RNAcentral lists this small RNA (78 nucleotides) under Petropleomorpha daqingensis. RNAcentral's name for it is "microRNA MIR1846". The record is from RNAcentral. Lineage: Bacteria; Bacillati; Actinomycetota; Actinomycetes; Geodermatophilales; Geodermatophilaceae.
ACGACCUGCUCGACUGAAGCGGAGGCUGAGCGCGCAGGUUUCCUGCGCGCUCAGCCUCCGCAUCAGGCGGCGACGAGC